Molecule: long non-coding RNA, 1704 nt
Filed under: Homo sapiens (human)
Lineage: Eukaryota; Metazoa; Chordata; Mammalia; Primates; Hominidae
Description: HSALNT0294815
Source: RNAcentral
CACAACCCUUGAGAGUCCAAGCAAUGCCCCAAAAGACCCAGGCCUCUGCCUGGGUGUCAACUCGUCAAUGUGCCAUUUCUGCAAAAAGGAAAAUGGACCUGCUGUUUCUUGCUGUUAUUGUCUGAAAAGUCAGUGCCCAGAUGCCAAGCCCAGAGCCUUGCUGUGCACUCGGGAAACCGUUAUUGCCAGCCUCUGCAGACCCUCAGGAAUGAGCUCUGCUUGCAACAGCCUUCUCCUGGCAAGAGUUAACACUAAGGUGCAGCUGAAGGAAUGUGAAGACUGGAGAGCCAGUUUGGGGGAUUGCUAUUGCAAUCAGAAGACAGCCCAAGUCAGAGUUCCAAAGCCCUUUGAAGGGAUGCCAGCUCAGACACAUGUUUCCAAUUAUCAUAUGCAAUCUCGAGACAGUGUGCAAGUUGCACUUUCAUUAUGUCAAAGUGAAAGGAAUGGUGGGGGCGAGAUAAAGGGGAGAGGCCGCUAAGCUGGAGGCUGCACUUAGCUGUGGCACCAAACGUUAGCCAAGGCGCCGGGCUGGCCUCUCCAACCCAAGUCUCCCCCUGGAGCCAGGGGUGCAUGCCUCUGAAAAUUACCCAGAUGUGUCACAUGCCUCAGGGAGGACCCUGUUUUCAACUGAGACCAUUAACGCAUUUAUGGCUAACACAAGGACAUUGAUUGCCUGCCACAUGCAAGAUUGGGUCCAGGUGCUGAAGAAACACAGAUGUGCUGCAUCCUUGACUUUAAGGAGCAUCCCUGGGUUGGAGGGAUUCUCUGCAGGCUGCUGUGGUGGAGGGAAGAUUUGCCCAACUUACUCUUGGCGCUGGACCCCCUGAGCCAUCUUCACACACCCAGGUGAACUUUGGGAAGGUAACAGCUUUUCAGUUGCAAACCCAAGUGAAUUAGAGCAAAACAGAUCCCACGUGCUUGACACAUGGAAACUUUCAGAGCCAAUGGUUUAUAAACUUACCAAGAGCUGGGGGAGUAAACACAUCCCAGGGAACUGUGGAGCACUUCUCUGGCAUUGAUACACAUAAGCAGAAAGCACAGCCUUCCCCGACACUUGCCUUAAGAUAGUCUUUUGUCUUAGAACCCAGAGGCUUACCUGAGCUAAACCACAUAAAGUGCUUAGUGCGAUGCCUUGAACAUACCAAGCUCUUAAUAAACGCUAAGGUCACUAUUAGCAUUGCUUGUCAUGGAAUAAACCUAGGAUACAUCUAUAAAACUGUCCAUAAUCUUCCUUGCCUUGUGGAAAGUUGUUCCACUAUUCCAACAUCCUUUUAGGGGUUCUCAGCUAAUCUACCUUUCAAAACGAAAAUUUAUUAUACACUUCUUAAGUGCUAGGUAGUUUUGUAUAUUUAUGUGUAUUAUCUCAUUAAAUGAUCUCUCAGCCCUCUGAGAAAAGCACUAUUAUCAUCCAUAUUUCACAGAUGAAGAAAUCGUCAGAGUUUCCAUAUAUCAUUGUCAGAGAUGUUAAGCAACUUGCUUAAGGUUACACAGCCUUAGCAGAAGUACUUGUUUGACUCCAAAGCCUACCAUUAUGCUGGAAUCACUAGAAUCCAGGUGGCCUAUCUGAACCCGGAUUCAGGCAUCUGAAGCUGAAUAGCUGCCAUUCUUGCUUUUAACCUCCUGGUAAAAGCAGGCUAUGCCUGAUCUAUCUAUCUAUCUAUCUAUCUAUCUAUCUAUCUAUCUAUCUAUCUAUCAAUCAUCUAU